GUAUUGAUUGCGUUUUAUUGCAAAAAUGAGGUCAUUCUACACUUUUUUAAAAAGGGGUUUGUGUGAAAACGCAAGCCCCCUCCUGGAUCGAAUCGAUCCCGAAGGGUGCCCACGCGGUGGUGCACAAGAGGGUGAGAUGGAUUAUAUGUGAGAGGACACGCUCUGGCGUGCACGACUUCAAAAGUCAGCGACAGCCCUCGCAUGCCUCACACAUUUUUGUACGAUAAUGAUCCUUCCGCAGGUUCACCUACGGAAA
This 256-nucleotide unclassified non-coding RNA is filed under the name uncultured fungus. RNAcentral's name for it is "sequence contains ITS1". Lineage: Eukaryota; Fungi. The record is from RNAcentral.